UUUUAUCCCCAAUAAAAGUAAAAAAUUACUCUACUUUCCUUUCUUCAUUCAUUCCGUCCGAGAAACCUAGAGUCUUUAGCUUCUGCACUCUGGUUUUUUAUUUUUCUUCAUCCCCCAGAAAACCCACACACAAUCUCAUUAAGAAAAGAAAAAAAAAAAAAUUCAUGCUCCAUCUCCCUGCAUCUCUUACCUCUUCUCUUGCAAACAUAUGAAAGACUAAGGAAAAAUUGCGUUUGAGGUGAGCAGUAGUUGUGCAGAGGAGCUUUACUUGGAAAGUUUGCAGCAUCAAAUAGAAAGCGAUCUUAUGCCAAGUGCCCGAUGUGACCAAAGUGAUUCUUAUGGUAUCCUUUUAGUUAUAUGUUCUAUGGAGAAUUAUUGGCAAGGGAUUGGAAUGAGCUAGGGGUGACAAACUGUGGAAAUGAGACAAAACUCCUAAGUGGAUCAGUCUAUCGAGACGGAUUGCCCAAGGAAUUAUAUGUGGUGAAAAAUGUAUUAACUGGAAUGAGAAAACAUGUUCAUUUACUGGACAUAACAACUCUAUCACAACUCAGAAAAUAUGCACAUCCUGGCUUGUAUAAUGGCUUUAGGCGCAUGGACUGUAACCAUUGGUGUAUUGCUGGACUUCUAGAUACUUGGAAUCAAAUUUUUAUGGAUUUCUCAUAAUUGUUA
This is a long non-coding RNA of Ziziphus jujuba (common jujube), 669 nucleotides long. RefSeq lists it as uncharacterized. Lineage: Eukaryota; Viridiplantae; Streptophyta; Magnoliopsida; Rosales; Rhamnaceae. The record is from RefSeq and is a predicted model, not a curated record. The transcript is spliced from 3 exons.